UGCAAGUCGAGCGAACAGACGAGGAGCUUGCUCCUCUGACGUUAGCGGCGGACGGGUGAGUAACACGUGGGUAACCUACCUAUAAGACUGGGAUAACUCCGGGAAACCGGGGCUAAUACCGGAUAACACAUGAAACCGCAUGGUUUCAUGAUGAAAGACGGUUUUGCUGUCACUUAUAGAUGGACCCGCGGCGUAUUAGCUAGUUGGUAAGGUAACGGCUUACCAAGGCAACGAUACGUAGCCGACCUGAGAGGGUGAUCGGCCACACUGGAACUGAGACACGGUCCAGACUCCUACGGGAGGCAGCAGUAGGGAAUCUUCCGCAAUGGGCGAAAGCCUGACGGAGCAACGCCGCGUGAGUGAUGAAGGUCUUCGGAUCGUAAAACUCUGUUAUUAGGGAAGAACAAGGAUGUAAGUAACUAUGCAUCCCUUGACGGUACCUAAUCAGAAAGCCACGGCUAACUACGUGCCAGCAGCCGCGGUAAUACGUAGGUGGCAAGCGUUAUCCGGAAUUAUUGGGCGUAAAGCGCGCGUAGGCGGUUUUUUAAGUCUGAUGUGAAAGCCCACGGCUCAACCGUGGAGGGUCAUUGGAAACUGGAAAACUUGAGUGCAGAAGAGGAAAGUGGAAUUCCAUGUGUAGCGGUGAAAUGCGCAGAGAUAUGGAGGAACACCAGUGGCGAAGGCGACUUUCUGGUCUGCAACUGACGCUGAUGUGCGAAAGCGUGGGGAUCAAACAGGAUUAGAUACCCUGGUAGUCCACGCCGUAAACGAUGAGUGCUAAGUGUUAGGGGGUUUCCGCCCCUUAGUGCUGCAGCUAACGCAUUAAGCACUCCGCCUGGGGAGUACGGCCGCAAGGCUGAAACUCAAAGGAAUUGACGGGGACCCGCACAAGCGGUGGAGCAUGUGGUUUAAUUCGAAGCAACGCGAAGAACCUUACCAAAUCUUGACAUCCUUUGACAACUCUAGAGAUAGAGCUUUCCCCUUCGGGGGACAAAGUGACAGGUGGUGCAUGGUUGUCGUCAGCUCGUGUCGUGAGAUGUUGGGUUAAGUCCCGCAACGAGCGCAACCCUUAAGCUUAGUUGCCAGCAUUAAGUUGGGCACUCUAAGUUGACUGCCGGUGACAAACCGGAGGAAGGUGGGGAUGACGUCAAAUCAUCAUGCCCCUUAUGAUUUGGGCUACACACGUGCUACAAUGGACGGUACAAAGGGCAGCGAACCCGCGAGGUCAAGCAAAUCCCAUAAAGCCGUUCUCAGUUCGGAUUGUAGUCUGCAACUCGACUACA
RNAcentral lists this ribosomal RNA (1283 nucleotides) under Staphylococcus simulans. RNAcentral's name for it is "bacterial SSU rRNA". It matches the Rfam family "Bacterial small subunit ribosomal RNA", at positions 56 to 1320 of the family's 1533-position model. Lineage: Bacteria; Bacillati; Bacillota; Bacilli; Caryophanales; Staphylococcaceae. The record is from RNAcentral.